GACGAACGCUGGCGGCGUGCUUAACACAUGCAAGUCGAACGGAAAGGCCUUUUCGGCGGUACUCGAGUGGCGAACGGGUGAGUAACACGUGGGUGAUCUGCCCUGCACUCUGGGAUAAGCCUGGGAAACUGGGCCUAAUACCGGAUAGGACCGCACUUUAGUGUGUGUGGUGGAAAGUUUUUUCGGUGUAGGAUGAGCCCGCGGCCUAUCAGCUUGUUGGUGGGGUAAUGGCCUACCAAGGCGGCGACGGGUAGCCGGACUGAGAGGUUGGUCGGCCACAUUGGGACUGAGAUACGGCCCAGACUCCUACGGGAGGCAGCAGUGGGGAAUAUUGCACAAGGGGCGCAAGCCUGAUGCAGCGACGCCGCGUGGGGGAUGACGGCCUUCGGGUUGUAAACUCCUUUCGCCAGGGACGAAGCGUUUUGUGACGGUACCUGGAGAAGAAGCACCGGCUAACUACGUG
This 463-nucleotide ribosomal RNA is filed under the name uncultured bacterium. RNAcentral describes it as "partial 16S ribosomal RNA". It matches the Rfam family "Bacterial small subunit ribosomal RNA", at positions 28 to 507 of the family's 1533-position model. The record is from RNAcentral.